Molecule: ribosomal RNA, 241 nt
Filed under: uncultured bacterium
Lineage: Bacteria
Description: partial 16S ribosomal RNA
Rfam family: Bacterial small subunit ribosomal RNA
Source: RNAcentral
GAUCCUGGCUCAGGACGAACGCCGGCGGCGUGCUUAACACAUGCAAGUCGAACGAAGAGCGGUGGAAGCUUGCUUCUAUCAAUCUUAGUGGCGAACGGGUGAGUAACGCGUAAUCAACCUGCCCUUCAGAGGGGGACAACAGUUGGAAACGACUGCUAAUACCGCAUACGAUCCAAUCUCGGCAUCGAGACUGGAUGAAAGGUGGCCUCUAUUUAUAAGCUAUCACUGAAGGAGGGGAUUG